Molecule: small nuclear RNA, 104 nt
Organism: Dasypus novemcinctus (nine-banded armadillo)
Lineage: Eukaryota; Metazoa; Chordata; Mammalia; Cingulata; Dasypodidae
Source: Ensembl
GUCCUCACUUCGGCAGCACAUAUAUUCAAGUUUAAAUGAUAUAGAAAAUGACAUGGCCCCUGAGCAAGGCUGACAUGCAAAUUUGUGAUGGGUAGUUGAGGGAU